Molecule: long non-coding RNA, 343 nt
Organism: Centropristis striata (black sea bass)
Lineage: Eukaryota; Metazoa; Chordata; Actinopteri; Perciformes; Serranidae
Exons: 3
Source: RefSeq, a predicted model, not a curated record
AGUAUGACUAAGUACUGUACUGUAGCUAUAAGUUAAGUCAUAUGUGUGUGUCUAUGGUUCCUUACUUUCUUUUUGUGGACAGGUAGUGGUUCACUCUUAUUUUUCUCCUGCUUCCAUUUCAGAUCCCACCAGUUGUCCUCUGAUCCUCCGCUGCUUGCACACCUGCCUCUACCACCUGUGCAGUUGUAGUAAUGUCCCCAGCAUUUAAAAAAAAGCUUUGCAAGGAAAACCACGUGAGGAACUGAUUACUUACAUUGCAGGUGUACAAGGAAACAAUCUCAAGUAUGGAGGAAUCCACCCUGCCGGACUGCUGCUCUGACUCAUGAACACGUGUGUGAAUGUG